UAAUUACCUCACUUCGAAGAGCUGAAGUGGCUGAACCUCGAUCUUGUGGUUCCAUUGACAGGAGCUUAUCAACAAGAGUCAAAGCUGACGGAGGGAAAUGUUUGAAUGUCUCAGUAAUACAUCGUGCUUAACUGGGCAUCUUGAACUUGCGUGGAGAUAUGAAAAAUACUGUAGAGCUUAGAAGGAAUUUGAAGAUUCCGAAGCAUGGAAGAUUAGUAAUGCUUGUUGCCCAGUGCUGGCUAAGAUGCAAGCAAGAUGCCGUACAUGCAAAAUGAGCUUACCUCUGUUCUUCCAGGCAUGAUAGGCUUGCCAGCGAAUAAUUCAGCAAGAAUGCAGCCAGCACUCCACAUAUCUAUAGCAGGUCCAUACUCUGUAGCACCUAGCAAAAGCUCCGGUGCCCUAUACCAGAGAGUUACUACGCGACUUGUUAAAGGCUGACUCUGAUCAGGAUGAUAAAAAGUUGCCAGACCAAAGUCUGCAAUCUUGAGAACUCCAUCAUUGUUUAUCAGAAGAUUUGAGCCCUUGAUGUCUCGAUGCAAGACACCUUGUUUAUGGCAGUGCUCAAGUCCAUGUAGAAGUUGUUGCACGUAGCAUUUGAUCUGCAAGAACAGGUAAUUUCCUUGUAAGACAAGACAUGAAUGGCAAGUUGACGACGUUAUAUCACUUUCAUGGUAGCAGAAGAAGCUAAUUUCCAAGUAUGAAUAACCCUAAAAUUGAACAGAUAAGAACAUAGGUACCUGAGAUUCCGUAAACUUGAUGCUAGGAUUUGCUGCAAGCCCAGCAAGGUCAUGCUCCAUGUACUCAAACACAAGGUACAAGCUCCCUGACAUCCUCGAAGUGACUAUUCCUUCAAGUUUCAUAACAUUUGGAUGGUCAAGUUUACGCAAAUUAACAAUUUCCCUAGCCAUGAAGCGGACACUUUCCGGAUCCAUGUUGACAAACCGCACCUUCUUCAUUGCAACAAUUUUUCCAGUUUCAAGGUCACGAGCCUUGUAUACAGUACUGCAAGUGAAAAUAAGUUUCACAAGCAUGAACCUUGUCUAGCUUCUCAAAUGAGUCUGCUCGUCGAGGCAGCCACCCUUUGACGGCUUCUCCAGCAACUGCUGUUAACCAUUCUGGCCAUGCUUCCCUUUCAGAUCCAUGACGAACAUUCCCAACAUUUGCCUUCGACACAAGACGCACCGAUCCAUCUUUUUGGCCAAGAAAAUCUACCAACAUCUCUUCUUUCUUGGAUAUUGCAGGAGCAACCAUUUGCACAGAAGACUUAUCCACCUCUGUCUG
Long non-coding RNA from Populus trichocarpa (black cottonwood), 1281 nucleotides. RefSeq lists it as uncharacterized. NCBI's taxonomy places the organism in Eukaryota, Viridiplantae, Streptophyta, Magnoliopsida, Malpighiales, Salicaceae. The transcript has 4 exons. The record is from RefSeq and is a predicted model, not a curated record.